This 388-nucleotide ribosomal RNA is filed under the name Echinodermata sp. Its description in RNAcentral is "partial small subunit ribosomal RNA". It matches the Rfam family "Eukaryotic small subunit ribosomal RNA", at positions 582 to 975 of the family's 1831-position model. Lineage: Eukaryota; Metazoa; Echinodermata. The record is from RNAcentral.
AUUCCAGCUCCAGUAGCGUAUAUUAAAGCUGUUGCAGUUAAAAAGCUCGUAGUUGGAUCUUGGGCCCAGGCCUGCGGUCCGCCGUGAGGCGUGUACUGCAGUCCUGGCCUUCCUCUCGGUUUUCGCCCGGUGCCCUUAAUUGAGUGCCAGGAGAGGCCGGAACGUUUACUUUGAAAAAAUUGGAGUGUUCAAAGCAGGCCCCGCGCCUGAACAGCAGAGCAUGGAAUAAUGGAAUAGGACCUCGGUUCUAUUGCGUUGGUUUUCGGAACUCGAGGUAAUGAUUAAGAGGGACUGACGGGGGCAUUCGUAUUGCGGUGUGAGAGGUGAAAUUCUUGGAUCGCCGCAAGACGACCGACUGCGAAAGCAUUUGCCAAGAAUGUUUUCAUUA